AGUGAACGCUGGCGGUAGGCCUAACACAUGCAAGUCGAACGGCAGCACAGUAAGAGCUUGCUCUUACGGGUGGCGAGUGGCGGACGGGUGAGGAAUACAUCGGAAUCUACUUUUUCGUGGGGGAUAACGUAGGGAAACUUACGCUAAUACCGCAUACGACCUACGGGUGAAAGUAGGGGAUCUUCGGACCUUGCGCGAUUGAAUGAGCCGAUGUCGGAUUAGCUAGUUGGCGGGGUAAAGGCCCACCAAGGGGACGAUCCGUAGCUGGUCUGAGAGGAUGAACCGCCACACUGGAGCUGAGACACCGCCCUGGCUCCUACGGGCGGCCGCGGUUGGGACUAGUGGCAAAAGGGCGGAAGCCUGAUCCAGCCAUGCCGCGUGGAUGAAGCAGGCCUUCGGGUUGUAAAGCCCUUUUGUUGGGAAAGAAAAGCAGCAGGUUAAUACCCCGCUGUUCGGCCGGUACCCAAAGAAUAAGCCCCGGCUAACUUCGU
This 491-nucleotide ribosomal RNA is filed under the name uncultured bacterium. Its description in RNAcentral is "partial 16S ribosomal RNA". It matches the Rfam family "Bacterial small subunit ribosomal RNA", at positions 29 to 506 of the family's 1533-position model. The record is from RNAcentral.